CUGGGAAUAUUGCGCAAUGGACGAAAGUCUGACGCAGCGACACCGCGUGUGGGAUGAAGUAUUUCGGUAUGUAAACCACUGUGGCGAGGGAUGAAAUUUUGACAGUACCUCGCUAGAAAGCAUCUGCUAACUACGUGCCAGAAGCCUCGGCAAUGCGUGGGAUGCAAGCGUUAUCCGGAUUUACUGGGCGUAAAGGGUUUCGCAGGCGGAUUGUUAAGUCGGGUCUUAAAGACUGGGGCUCAACUCCAGAAGUGGAUUCGAUACUGGCAAUCUUGAGGAUAUCAGGGGGGACUGGAACACUCGGUGGAGGGGUGAAAUCCGUUGAGAUCGAGUGGAACGCCAAUGGCGAAAGCAGGUCCCUGGGGUAUUCCUGACGCUCAGGUACGAAAGCUAGGGGAGCAAACGGG
RNAcentral lists this ribosomal RNA (407 nucleotides) under uncultured bacterium. RNAcentral describes it as "bacterial SSU rRNA". It matches the Rfam family "Bacterial small subunit ribosomal RNA", at positions 355 to 776 of the family's 1533-position model. The record is from RNAcentral.